UACGUAGGGGGCAAGCGUUGUCCGGAAUCAUUGGGCGUAAAGGGCUCGUAGGCGGCCAACUAAGUCAGACGUGAAAUCCCUCGGCUUAACCGGGGAACUGCGUCUGAUACUGGAUGGCUUGAGUGUGGGAGAGGGAUGCGGAAUUCCAGGUGUAGCGGUGAAAUGCGUAGAUAUCUGGAGGAACACCGGUGGCGAAGGCGGCAUCCUGGACCACGACUGACGCUGAGUGAGCGAAAGCCAGGGGAGCAAACGGG
RNAcentral lists this ribosomal RNA (254 nucleotides) under uncultured bacterium. RNAcentral's name for it is "partial 16S ribosomal RNA". It matches the Rfam family "Bacterial small subunit ribosomal RNA", at positions 524 to 776 of the family's 1533-position model. The record is from RNAcentral.